RNAcentral lists this ribosomal RNA (493 nucleotides) under uncultured bacterium. RNAcentral describes it as "partial 16S ribosomal RNA". It matches the Rfam family "Bacterial small subunit ribosomal RNA", at positions 29 to 508 of the family's 1533-position model. The record is from RNAcentral.
AUUGAACGCUGGCGGCAUGCUUUACACAUGCAAGUCGAACGGUAACAGGCCUUCGGGUGCUGACGAGUGGCGAACGGGUGAGUAAUGCAUCGGAACGUACCCAGAGGUGGGGGAUAACGCAGCGAAAGCUGUGCUAAUACCGCAUGUGAUCUGAGGAUGAAAGCGGGGGACCGAGCAGCAAUGUUUGGCCUCGCGCCUUUGGAGCGGCCGAUGUCGGAUUAGCUAGUUGGUGGGGUAAAGGCCUACCAAGGCGACGAUCCGUAGCUGGUCUGAGAGGACGAAGAACCAACAAGGGACGGGAGAGCGGCCCAAGCCUCAAGGGGGGGCGACAGGGGGGAAUUUUGGAAGAAGGGGCCAAGGCCGACGCACGCAUGGCGGGGGGGGGAAGAAGGCCUUUGGGUUAAAAAACGCUUUUGGGCGGGACGGAACGGUAUGCAGCAAAACACGGCGCUUAAGGCGGGACCCUGAAGAAAAGCACCCGACUAUACCGUGC